CUAGUAAUGGCAGGUCAGCAUACUGCCGUGAAUACGUUCCCGGGCCUUGUACACACCGCCCGUCACACCAUGAGAGUUGGGGAUACCCAAAGCCCGUGAGCCAACUUUAAAAGAGGCAGCGGUCUAAGGUAGAAUCAAUGAUUGGGUGAAGUCGUAACAAGGUAAC
RNAcentral lists this ribosomal RNA (166 nucleotides) under uncultured bacterium. RNAcentral describes it as "partial 16S ribosomal RNA". It matches the Rfam family "Bacterial small subunit ribosomal RNA", at positions 1335 to 1500 of the family's 1533-position model. The record is from RNAcentral.